RNAcentral lists this ribosomal RNA (628 nucleotides) under bacterium W15S60. RNAcentral describes it as "bacterial SSU rRNA". It matches the Rfam family "Bacterial small subunit ribosomal RNA", at positions 245 to 883 of the family's 1533-position model. The record is from RNAcentral.
GUAGUUGGUGAGGUAAUGGCUCACCAAGCCUACGACGGGUAGCCGGCCUGAGAGGGUGACCGGCCACACUGGGACUGAGACACGGCCCAGACUCCUACGGGAGGCAGCAGUGGGGAAUAUUGCACAAUGGGCGAAAGCCUGAUGCAGCAACGCCGCGUGAGGGACGACGGCCUUCGGGUUGUAAACCUCUUUUAGUAGGGAAGAAGCGAAAGUGACGGUACCUGCAGAAAAAGCACCGGCUAACUACGUGCCAGCAGCCGCGGUAAUACGUAGGGUGCAAGCGUUGUCCGGAAUUAUUGGGCGUAAAGAGCUCGUAGGCGGUUUGUCGCGUCUGCUGUGAAAACUGGAGGCUCAACCUCCAGCCUGCAGUGGGUACGGGCAGACUAGAGUGCGGUAGGGGAGAUUGGAAUUCCUGGUGUAGCGGUGGAAUGCGCAGAUAUCAGGAGGAACACCGAUGGCGAAGGCAGAUCUCUGGGCCGUAACUGACGCUGAGGAGCGAAAGCAUGGGGAGCGAACAGGAUUAGAUACCCUGGUAGUCCAUGCCGUAAACGUUGGGAACUAGAUGUGGGGGCCAUUCCACGGUCUCCGUGUCGCAGCUAACGCAUUAAGUUCCCCGCCUGGGGAGUAC